CGGCUUGCUCGUAAUUUCCAACCAUCCCCCGCUCGCUCUUUUCUCCGCAGCUGGAGCUGAGUUUUGCCCAAUCGCCGACAGCUUCUUGGUGGAGAGUGAAAGGCAGCGAGACGAAUAUGAGGAUCGUUGGAUUGACAGGAGGGAUCGCCUCAGGAAAGAGCACCGUUUCUGGUCUCUUUAGAUCCAGCGGUGUGCCUGUCGUGGACGCCGAUCUUGUCGCCCGGGAUGUUGUAAAAAAAGGAACACCUGGAUGGAGAAAGGUUGCUACUGCAUUUGGAGAUGAUAUUUUGCUUGAAAAUGGAGAGAUCAAUAGAUCACGCCUUGGGCAAAUUGUUUUUUCUGAUCCAGCAAAACGUCAACUUCUAAACCGUCUUUUAGCUCCACAUAUAUCUUCUGGCAUAUUUUGGGAAAUUAUGAAGCUUUGGGUGAAGGGAUGCAAGGUUGUUGUCCUUGACAUCCCAUUAUUAUUUGAAACUAAGAUUGAUCGAAGAACGAAACCUAUUAUCGUCGUAUGGGUAAAUCCCGAAACACAGCUUCAGCGGCUCAUGGCGAGAGAUGGAAUAUCGGAAGAGGAGGCUAGAAACAAGAUCAAUGCUCAGACUUCACUGGACUGGAAGAAGACUAAGGCUGACAUUGUCAUCGAUAACUCUGGUUCAAUAGAGGAUACAAGAACUCAGUUUCAGAAUGUGCUGAAGCAGGUCACAGCAUCCUUGAGUUGGAAAGAAUUUGCCUUCUCCAGAGAAAGCGUGGCUGUGGUUCUUUUCUCUCUAUUUAUUGGCGCCUGGAUGUUACACAGUCGCAUUUGAUUGAUUACUGGAUACCUUCCUCAAAAAUUUGCUUGGGAAGAUAUUUAUUGAUGUUUUGCAAGCCGUUUCUUCUUAUUUUGCAAGACAAUAAUCAGGAUAAUUAGAAAAAGGUACAAAGCUCCAGUUGAUGGCACUGCACAGUUAAUAAAAUUCUCUCUAUUGACAUCACUCCCUUCACCUAUAAGUUCUCCAAUUCUCAAUAGAAUUUCAACUGUUUUUUCAUUAUUAUUGACUCUAUUUUCAUAUUCCAUGAGGUUGUAGAGAAUAUUUUCUGGAAACAAGCAGUUUUUUUUUUUUUUUGAAACAAGCAGAUAUUGUCGCAAAUGUUGAGAAACAGUUUAGGGUUUAUUUUGUAAUAUCUGUACCCCUUAUUUUCAAAUUUAACCUUGCUUUUUCAUUACC
Dendrobium catenatum is the source of this 1208-nucleotide RNA transcript. It is a transcript of the gene named dephospho-CoA kinase, with no coding region annotated. The record is from RefSeq and is a predicted model, not a curated record. The transcript has 5 exons. NCBI's taxonomy places the organism in Eukaryota, Viridiplantae, Streptophyta, Magnoliopsida, Asparagales, Orchidaceae.